RNAcentral lists this ribosomal RNA (797 nucleotides) under uncultured Sorangiineae bacterium. RNAcentral's name for it is "bacterial SSU rRNA". It matches the Rfam family "Bacterial small subunit ribosomal RNA", at positions 8 to 796 of the family's 1533-position model. The record is from RNAcentral. Lineage: Bacteria; Pseudomonadati; Myxococcota; Myxococcia; Myxococcales.
AGAGUUUGAUCAUGGCUCAGGACGAACGCUGGCGGCGUGCUUAACACAUGCAAGUCGAGGGGCAGCACGGGUAGCAAUACCUGGUGGCGACCGGCAAACGGGUGCGGAACACGUACGCAACUUUCCUUCAACUGAGGAAUAGCCCAGGGAAACUUGGAUUAAUACCUCGUAAUAUUAUGAAGUGGCAUCACUUUAUAAUUAUAGCUCAGGCGGUUGAAGAUGGGCGUGCGCCUGAUUAGCUAGUUGGUGGGGUAACGGCCCACCAAGGCGACGAUGCAUAGCUGGUCUGAGAGGAUGAUCAGCCACACUGGGACUGAGACACGGCCCAGACUCCUACGGGUGGCAGCAGUUUCGAAUCAUUCACAAUGGGCGAAAGCCUGACGCAGCGACGCCGCGUGAGCGAUGAAGGCCUUCGGGUUGUAAAGCUCUGUGGGGAGGGAAGAAUAAGGGCUGGCUAAUAUCCAGCCUGAUGACGGUACCUCCUUAGCAAGCACCGGCUAACUCUGUGCCAGCAGCCGCGGUAAUACAGAGGGUGCAAACGUUGUUCGGAAUUACUGGGCGUAAAGCGCGUGCAGGCGGCCUUGCAAGUCGGACGUGAAAUCCCAUGGCUCAACCAUGGAAGUGCAUUCGAAACUGCGAGGCUGGAGUCCUGGAGAGGAAGGUGGAAUACUCGGUGUAGAGGUGAAAUUCGUAGAUAUCGAGUGGAACACCGGUGGCGAAGGCGGCCUUCUGGACAGGUACUGACGCUGAGACGCGAAAGCGUGGGGAGCAAACAGGAUUAGAUACCCCAGUAGUCC